UAUGUGUGUGUGUGUGUGUGUGUGUGUGUGUGUAUAUAUAUAUAUACACACACACAUACAUACACACACACACAUAUU
Molecule: non-coding RNA, 78 nt
Organism: Pelobates cultripes (western spadefoot toad)
Lineage: Eukaryota; Metazoa; Chordata; Amphibia; Anura; Pelobatidae
Source: the annotation of a GenBank genome assembly